RNAcentral lists this transfer RNA (73 nucleotides) under Mimastra soreli. RNAcentral describes it as "tRNA-Leu". The record is from RNAcentral. Lineage: Eukaryota; Metazoa; Arthropoda; Insecta; Coleoptera; Chrysomelidae.
AUUAUUUUGGCAGAUUAGUGCUAUUGAUUUAGAGUCUUUAUAAGUAAUAUAAUAUUACAAAUAAUACUUGAUU